Molecule: ribosomal RNA, 1028 nt
Filed under: uncultured Enterobacteriaceae bacterium
Lineage: Bacteria; Pseudomonadati; Pseudomonadota; Gammaproteobacteria; Enterobacterales; Enterobacteriaceae
Description: bacterial SSU rRNA
Rfam family: Bacterial small subunit ribosomal RNA
Source: RNAcentral
UUCGAUUGGCGGACGGGUGAGUAAUGUCUGGGAAACUGCCUGAUGGAGGGGGAUAACUACUGGAAACGGUAGCUAAUACCGCAUAACGUCGCAAGACCAAAGAGGGGGACCUUCGGGCCUCUUGCCAUCGGAUGUGCCCAGAUGGGAUUAGCUAGUAGGUGGGGUAACGGCUCACCUAGGCGACGAUCCCUAGCUGGUCUGAGAGGAUGACCAGCCACACUGGAACUGAGACACGGUCCAGACUCCUACGGGAGGCAGCAGUGGGGAAUAUUGCACAAUGGGCGCAAGCCUGAUGCAGCCAUGCCGCGUGUAUGAAGAAGGCCUUCGGGUUGUAAAGUACUUUCAGCGGGGAGGAAGGGAGUAAAGUUAAUACCUUUGCUCAUUGACGUUACCCGCAGAAGAAGCACCGGCUAACUCCGUGCCAGCAGCCGCGGUAAUACGGAGGGUGCAAGCGUUAAUCGGAAUUACUGGGCGUAAAGCGCACGCAGGCGGUUUGUUAAGUCAGAUGUGAAAUCCCCGGGCUCAACCUGGGAACUGCAUCUGAUACUGGCAAGCUUGAGUCUCGUAGAGGGGGGUAGAAUUCCAGGUGUAGCGGUGAAAUGCGUAGAGAUCUGGAGGAAUNACNCGGUGGCGAAGGCGGCCCCCUGGACGAAGACUGACGCUCAGGUGCGAAAGCGUGGGGAGCAAACAGGAUUANGNAUACCCUGGUAGUCCACGCCGUAAACGAUGUCGACUUGGAGGUUGUGCCCUUGAGGCGUGGCUUCCGGAGCUAACGCGUUAAGUCGACCGCCUGGGGAGUACGGCCGCAANGGUUAAAACUCAAAUGAAUUGACGGGGGCCCGCACAAGCGGUGGAGCAUGUGGUUUAAUUCGAUGCAACGCGAAGAACCUUACCUGGUCUUGACAUCCACGGAAGUUUUCAGAGAUGAGAAUGUGCCUUCGGGAACCGUGAGACAGGUGCUGCAUGGCUGUCGUCAGCUCGUGUUGUGAAAUGUUGGGUUAAGUCCCGCAACGAGCGCAACCCUUAUC